Molecule: long non-coding RNA, 3579 nt
Organism: Amphiprion ocellaris (clown anemonefish)
Lineage: Eukaryota; Metazoa; Chordata; Actinopteri; Pomacentridae
Exons: 3
Source: RefSeq, a predicted model, not a curated record
UGUGACCGUAAUCUAACACACCUGUAUGCUAAUCAUGUAGCUAACAGGUGUAUGCUACGUCAAACAAACCUUAGCUAGCAUCGUUUUGCACAGUCGUAAUUACAGCUGCUAAGCUCAGAAUUAUUUACGAAUGUUGUUAAACGACGUGCGGGUUUGUUUUUGUUCGUUUAGAAUCGUUUUUGGAGGGUAAAAAUGUCUCCGUACCUCUAAUAUCGCAUUAAUUGUAAGAGUCAACGGUUUUGGGACAAAGUGAAAUUCGCAUAUUUUGCUAGCAGCUAAUCGAUGCUACAGAUGACCAGUUGGUGCUGCCACAAACCACAUACCAGUGCACAAGACCAGUGGAGCAGGAAUGAGGUUAUUCCUACUACUCCUUCAUUCCAACAAUUCUAACCGGGAACAAGAGGAAAAAGUAGCUGAAGCUGACAUCGGUGAUACCUGAUACUCAAGACGACACGGUUUGUCAGGAGGAUCUUCAGGAUGUUGACCAUUCGACAGUGACCACAUGGAUGCUACACAGUGUGCAGGUUGAAUUUGGUGACUGAGUAGAAGGUUGUUGUGAUCCACAACUUGAAGCCUGAGAGUGGAAUGACAGAGUGGAAAAUGAGCAGCCCAUACAAAGAAGUGGAGGUAAUGUGGGCUAAGUGAUCAAUGGCAUUGAUCAGCCAGUCAAUCCUGGAGUCUAUAUUCUUCUCUGUUUACACUCUCCUACUGCCGCUGUGUUAAACUGAGCGUGCUCUGAGCAGCCACCUUAGGGACCCUCUAAAAGCUGGCCUCACACCCAUCAUUGAUUGACAUGUCGAUUAUCUAGGGAGCUGUUGACAGCACAGUUGUUAGCCAUCUUAAACAUUAAUGAUGAUGGGGAGUGGUUACUAAGAGAGACAGACGUUCAUUUUCAUGUGUAGUACCUCUUUUAGUGGAAUGAAACACAUUAAACAUAACUUUAAACACAAAACAACCAAAUAGUUGUAUGUGAUCGACCAGUUCUGCUACCUAUAAUAUCAAAUGAACACUUGUGCAUGUGCCACCUCUUGUUGCCUUGUGUGUGUUUUCUUUGAUCAUCAACACUCAAUCUGAAUAUAUGCUACCGUUCAAAAGUUUGGAGUCACUUAGAAAAGUUUCUAUUUUUGAAAGAAAAGCAUUUUUUUCAAUGAAGAUAACAUUAAAUUAAUCAUAAGUCCAGGCUAGACAUUGUUAAUGUGGUAAUGAUUAUUCUAGCUGGAAACAGCUGAUUUGUAAUGGAAUAUCUACAUAGGGAUACAGAGGCCCAUUUCCAGCAACCAUCACUCUUGUGUUCUAAUGCUACAUCGUGUUAACUAAGCACGUUGAAACGCUAAUUGAUGAUUAAAAAAAACCUUUGUGCAAUUUUGUUAGCACAUGAAUAAAAGUGUGAGUUUUCAUAGAAACAUGAAAUUGCCUGGGUGACCCCAAACUUUUGAACGGUAGUGAAUAUUCUAAAUUUUAACAAAGGACAGAUAGUAUUAAAAAAAAAAGAAAAAAACAACACACACAUCCAAGUCCCUUCAGUAUUUUAAGAAAUUACUUACUUGCAAUGUUGAUAAAAGGGAAACUUCAUGACUUUCUAUCAUUUUUUGUAAGCAUUAGGGUUUUACGUUUUGUUUGGCUGAUUUGUUGGCACGUUUUUCUUUUUCUCUGUCAAUUAAAUGGAAAGUCAAGACCUCAGAGAUUUCAUCUUCCUUUAAACUUAAUCACAUUGAAUUUUUUAAAUUCAGAUUUUAUUUUGAAAUUCAAAAUAACAAACAUAAGUUAUACCUUUUUGAGGCGCAACCAUGCAAAAAAUAAUAUUGAAUGGUUUGAGUUUGCUAAAUUUUUGCAUUGUUUGAACUUCUUAUACAGAUGAUUGCAUUUUUUUGUAAACAGAAUAAUUCAGAUUCUGUUGUGAUCUUGCAUAGAUACCUAGUCAUCUUUUUGCUAAGUGUAAUCAACGCCGAAUCGGAUUGUGUGCGUAUGUUUGUGUGUGUAAAAACAAUUGCAUUAAUGGUGCAGCCUUCACCACGUGCACCAGGCUCCCAGCGUAACCCUCAAACCUGUUUCUUCUUGUGUGUGUCAUUUACUGCCUUUAAAGAGUUUGUGUAAAGCAGUUUAUAGAUAAUUUCUACAUUUCCCGGAGCUCUUCUAAAUAUCUACUUAUGUGUUUAAGUUAUAAAAUGAUUCACUUUAAUAGACCCCAGUAACGGGCUGACGUGGACUGGCUGCAGGGACCAGAAGCUCUGAAAAUGAUUACACCACAGUAAUACUAAUGAUCAACCUUCUGCAUGAUGUUCACAGCACAGAGAAAGUAGCAGCCUCAACAUGACAUGAAGUCUUUGUCUGGGUCGCUGUUUUCAUCACUUGUUCUACCUUAAGCUGCUUCUCACUGCUGCCAGCUUCCCCAGGCCUGUUUUGGUUGGUCAGUGCAUUGAAAAUUGUUCUGCCUCUUUACAAGAUUGUCUUUAAUCUUUUGCCUUCCAUGUCACCUCGAAACGUGUGAAGGCUGAUAUGAUAAUGAUGUGGACCUGUCCAGGGUAUUAGAGUUAAGCUUCCUGAUUAGGCUGCACAUCGAUUGCUCUAUCAUUCAGCGCUGGCCAUGUCUGGGCAUCUGGGAGGGAGGAGAGUUGGGUGUUGGUGUUACAGAGGAUUGACAACCAUCCUGCAAAAAUGACUGCACUUGGAGUGAAUCAUAAAUGCACAUGAAACAAAACAUUUAAACAUUAAUAGGAAGUGCACAAAAACGUUUCUUUCUGUCACUGAAUAACUCUUUUAUACAAGUUAUGUUUUGUUUUAGAACUUUAAUUUCCUUUCAUUCACAUGUAAGUUGUACUACCAUUACAUACUCCCGUUAACAGCUUGCUAUCAGAAACAAUACAUUACUUACAUUAUAUUCCAUGUUGAACAUGGCUUACAUUGAGUUUGUCUUGCAGCUGUAAUGAAAGCAUAUAUGACUGUACCUUUUUAUUAAGUGAUGCAGUGAUGAUUAAGGAGUAGUGAUGAUGAAAGGCAAUGUAGAACAGAUCUGUGUAGGGGAAUAGUAUGAGAAAAUUACAUUUUUACAAUAAAUUCUAUGUACUGUUGCAACUGUCAUGCAAUAAUAACAGUUCCAACCAUGUGUUGGCAUUCUAGUUUGCAUUGCAACAAAUACAUCUGGCACAGUUGAUGUGUGAGAAGCCAGAUUGUGCAUUUUGUGUCUUAGACAGUCACACACCUUAUUUUCAACUGUCAGUGAUGAGGUGCAUAAUAGCCGUAUCGCUCAUUAAACCUUCCUAAAGGGAAAGUUCAGUUUCUUUAAAAUGGAGUUGUAUGAGGUACUUAUCCAUAGUUGAUGUAUUACCUACAGUAGAUCACAGUCGGCAUGCACCCCAGUUUGGAAAAGCAGACGAGGGGACCAGUGGUAAAGCUAAGCAAACUGCUGACAGCCACAAAACAUGUUUUAGCCACCUGACAAAAGGUCCACCUACAAAUAGUAGAAGUGUAUUUAAUGAUAUUUAGUUUAUUUUUGCCGAUUUACCUUGCCAUCAGACAGCUUUCCAUCAGCGAACUUUGUGUCGCUAGUCUGUUUUUUGGCAGGUUAAUCGGCAAGGUACA